Molecule: long non-coding RNA, 930 nt
Organism: Bos taurus (domestic cattle)
Lineage: Eukaryota; Metazoa; Chordata; Mammalia; Artiodactyla; Bovidae
Source: Ensembl
AACGCUCCUGCGACUCAGGGUCAAGCCUCCCAGCAAAGGAGAUGGACUCUGCUUUUCCCAACAACACGGCCGUGCCCGGGAAGAGGAGGUGCCCAGGGCUGUGUCCACGGAACCUGCCCAGGUCCUUCACUCCCAACAGAGCCUGGUGUCCAACGCCAGGCAGUUCACGUGUUGGGAAAGCCAAGGCCAUACCAAGAGACCAUGAAUUUGAGGCUCCCCAGAGUGGCUGUGGCCAAGGCUGCAGAGCUAAGGAGCAGUGGAGAGGGCUAAAAGCCCACCAGGCUCCUCUGUCCAUGGGAUUCUCCAGGCAAGAAGGCUGGAGGGGUCGUCAUUUCCUUCUCCAGGGAUCGUCCCGAUCCAGGGAUGGAGCCCGUGUCUCCUGUGUCUCGCGUCGACAGGCGGGUUCUUCACCACCAGCCCACACCUGCAGUUUCUAAAAUGCAUCGCCCACACACCUGGGCCAGCUCUCCUGGGGAGCUGCUGGUUCUCCUCAUGCUUACAAGGUGGAGAAAGAGCCAGCCAUCCUGCGGGCCGGUGGAGCAUCCCUCUGCUUCCUGUCCCCGCCAGCCUCAGCCUGGCCACCUCCUCAGGCGGGUUUGUUGAGUAACGUUGAGAGAGUCCGUCCCCUCUGCUUCGUUUCCAAACCAAACGCAGGUGGCAUCUGACCCAUCCCCCCUGGUUUGUCUGGGAGAUGGGCAGUUGAGCGCAGACCUCGGGAGGAGAGAGAACACCCCUGAAGUAAGCACAUGCACUUCUGCCGCUCAGGAUGCGGAGACCCAAAGGACUCCACCAAGACCCGGAGCCUGGUGGAGAGAGCAGACCAGCUCCACACCAGCCGGGCCCCCUGGCGGUGUGAUUACCUGUCCUGCAAACACCCGGAAGCCGAGCACCACCUCCUGGGGGCCCGGGGGGCAUGCCCUGUGCGCAUCC